This 481-nucleotide ribosomal RNA is filed under the name uncultured bacterium. RNAcentral describes it as "bacterial SSU rRNA". It matches the Rfam family "Bacterial small subunit ribosomal RNA", at positions 29 to 506 of the family's 1533-position model. The record is from RNAcentral.
AUGAACGCUAGCGGCAGGCUUAAUACAUGCAAGACGAACGGUAAGAAUUGUAGCAAUACGAUUCCUAGAGUGUCGUACGGGUGCGUAACACGUAUGCAACCUACCUUGUACAGGAGUAUAGCUCCCCGAAAGGGGAAUUAACCCUCCAUAAUAUCAUUUGGUGGCAUCAUUGAAUGAUUAAAACUGAGGUGGUACAAGAUGGGCAUGCGUUUGAUUAGUUAGUUGGCAGUGUAACGGACUACCAAGACGAUGAUCAAUAGGGGACCUGAGAGGGUGAUCCCCCACACUGGCACUGAGAUACGGGCCAGACUCCUACGGGAGGCAGCAGUAGGGAAUAUUGGACAAUGGGUGAGAGCCUGAUCCAGCCAUGCCGCGUGCAGGAAGAAGGCGUUAUGCGUUGUAAACUGCUUUUGCCAGGGGAUAAAACGACUCUGCGGAGUUAAUUGAAGGUACCUGGUGAAUAAGCCACGGCUAACUACGU